UUCAUUAAUCAAGAACGAAAGUUAGGGGAUCGAAGACGAUUAGAUACCGUCGUAGUCUUAACCAUAAACUAUGCCGACUAGGGAUCGGGCGCAGUUUCUAAUGACUCGCUCGGCACCUUAAGAGAAAUCAAAGUUUUUGGGUUCUGGGGGGAGUAUGGUCGCAAGGCUGAAACUUAAAGGAAUUGACGGAAGGGCACCACCAGGAGUGGAGCCUGCGGCUUAAUUUGACUCAACACGGGGAAACUCACCAGGUCCAGACACAGUAAGGAUUGACAGAUUGAGAGCUCUUUCUUGAUUUUGUGGUUGGUGGUGCAUGGCCGCUCUUAGUUGGUGGAGUGAUUUGUCUGCCUAAUCGCGAUAACGAACGAGACCCUUACCUGCUAAAUAGUCGACUCGGCCCUGGCCGGGACCUUUUUGGUUAUGACUUCUUAGAGGGACUGGAGGCUCCAAGCCUCAGGAAGCCGGGGGCAAUAACAGGU
RNAcentral lists this ribosomal RNA (479 nucleotides) under uncultured fungus. RNAcentral describes it as "SSU rRNA". It matches the Rfam family "Eukaryotic small subunit ribosomal RNA", at positions 969 to 1461 of the family's 1831-position model. Lineage: Eukaryota; Fungi. The record is from RNAcentral.